This 433-nucleotide ribosomal RNA is filed under the name uncultured bacterium. RNAcentral describes it as "partial 16S ribosomal RNA". It matches the Rfam family "Bacterial small subunit ribosomal RNA", at positions 29 to 507 of the family's 1533-position model. The record is from RNAcentral.
AACGAACGCUGGCGGCAUGCCUAACACAUGCAAGUCGAACGAGACCUUCGGGUCUAGUGGCGCACGGGUGCGUAACGCGUGGGAACCUGCCCUUAGGUUCGGAAUAACUCCCCGAAAGGGGUGCUAAUACCGGAUAUUGUCUUCGGACCAAAGAUUUAUCGCCUUUGGAUGGGCCCGCGUUGGAUUAGCUAGUUGGUAGGGUAAAAGCCUACCAAGGCGACGAUCCAUAGCUGGUCUGAGAGGAUGAUCAGCCACACUGGGACUGAGACACGGCCCAGACUCCUACGGGAGGCAGCAGUGGGGAAUAUUGGACAAUGGGCGAAAGCCUGAUCCAGCAAUGCCGCGUGAGUGAUGAAGGCCUUAGGGUUGUAAAGCUCUUUUACCCGGGAUGAUAAUGACAGUACCGGGAGAAUAAGCUCCGGCUAACUCCAUG